Long non-coding RNA from Apis cerana (Asiatic honeybee), 2220 nucleotides. RefSeq lists it as uncharacterized. The record is from RefSeq and is a predicted model, not a curated record. NCBI's taxonomy places the organism in Eukaryota, Metazoa, Arthropoda, Insecta, Hymenoptera, Apidae.
UUUAGUUAUAUUAUUACGUUUAUUGUCGAAACAUGGUAUAUUGCGUUUAAAUAGUGAAUUUCUCAAAAUCUGACGCGAAUAUUAACAAUAAUGUUUGUUGGCUUGAUAUUUAAUCAUAUUCUUGUUUCGAAGAUAUUGUUUAAAUAGUUUUGCUUAGAAACUUGGUCGCGUUUAAUGCGUAUAUCUUUACUACAUGCAAGUCUUUGAGGUUAAGAAUGCUCUGAGUGGAUGGAACGAGGCAAGAAGUAUUUUAUUCAUAUAGAAUGAUUACGAGUGUGAAUGUUUAAGCGUUUUGUGUAAUUAAUUAAAGUGAGUUGUGUGUGAUAUAGGAAAUUGCUCGUUUACUCAGGAUUUGGAUGUUUUGCCCGAGUCUCGGUGUGGAGGAAUAUACUCGGCGAGUGUAGGCCGUGGUGGAAGGGUGGUGAGGGUUGGCCGGGCGGGGAUGGCUUUAACCGGUCGAUACUUGGUUCCACAAGCGUUACACUAGGAAGGGGUGCGGGAGGAGCGUGGCACAGCCCUGAUCCUGUUGGCCGGACAUCGACGUUUGCCAGCCGGACGUGUAAUCGCGGAAGAGAGCUAAGACGGAUGCCAAGCAUGAAGAUAUUCGGGCAGCCUUUUGCGCGAGGAAAUAUUUAGAAAUGGAAUUAUAUUUAAAACACGAAAAAAAGUUUGAAGGUUGAUUCCACCCUCUCAAAUGGAAUUUUAUGCCGAAAAAAAGUUGUUCACGUGUCGAUUAAAAGGAUUUUGUUGUCUGUUCACUGGGAUUACGAGAGAAUGUUUCAUCACGAACUUUUACUAUUUGACCAUCACACGAUUAAUAAUAAAAAAUAUUAUACUCGAUUGGAUCAAUUAAAAAGCAUCAUUCACAUCAGAAAAAAGAAUCUUUGACGACCAAUAAACGAUCAUUAAUAAUGAAAUCUUGAUUGGAGAAAAUGGAUGUUUGAAACAAGAAAUGAAUAUUAUUCAUCUCGAAUGAUAUAUAUAUAUAUCUCAAUCUGUUCCAAAUUUUGCCUACUGCCCAUACUGCAUCAGUGGAACGAGACCGUAAAAGACAGACCAGGAGGACGAAGCCUGUGCAUCAUCCUCGCUACUCGUGCCAUCAACGAAUUUCCAAAAUUUCUGAAGCAAAAGCUUGGAUAAUUUCAUGGAAAGCCAAACGCACAAUAUAUUUAUUCCAUCGAACCGACUGUCAAACACGUUUCCAUUUCCAAUACAUAUCUCUCUCUCUCUCAUAUCUCAUUCUGUUCCCCUUUUCGACGAUUCGUUAAACGAGAACGAACGUAUCAUCGAGGGGACAGAAAGGGAGGAUAAUACAGAGGAGAGUAGGCCGGUGAUUGAUGAACUCUCGAGAAGAGUGAUUCGAGGUGAAAGGAUCGGGGAAGAUUCGCGAGCGAGCAACCCUUCCCUCUCCCCCUUCGUCCGUAAUUAUAAUCAACCGUGGUCGGUGAUAUCUGGCUGAAUACCAGAGCCGAAAUGUGGGACGUCUGUUUGUCGGAGGGGAUAACCGUAAUCCGAGGCCACGAACCGACUAUGUGUAUGAUCGAUGUAAACGUACUCGUGUAAACAGAUAUACUGACGCCUUAUGAUCGAUAGCCAAAGAUACCGUGUAUACUGGAUUUAUAUAUACAGGGUGUUAAUAUAUUCGUGGCUACGUAUCUUUGGAGGAUCGAUUAUGGAGAACAAAGAGAAAUAUAAAUUUCAUCGAUAAAAAUAUUGAAAAACUACAACACUCAAAUGUAUUAAAAGUAAAACAAAAGUAUAAAUUUCAUUGAUAAAAAUAUUGAAGAACUACAACAGUGAAAUGUAUUAAAAGUAAAACAAAAAUGCAAGUUUCAUCACUAAAAAUAUGAAGAAUUGCAAUAAUAUUUAAACGUAUUAGCAACGAAAUGUAAGAAACUACACAUAUAUUUAUGCAUUCCUGUAUUCGCGAGUUUUUACGUGACUAAUCUUAAGAGUCGAUAGUAUGUCGCCAAAGUGGAGUUUAGAGGAAAGUUUCAAAUUAGAGGAAUAACAGAUGAAGCGGAAGUCUUGGGGAGCGCAUCAGGUAAAAUGUCUAAAGAGUUUCCCGGCGUGGCGUAUCUUGCACAGAAAAUUUGUUCCACUUCUGUUUACUUUACCGCUUAUAUCUUCAAUGCGUUACAUUAAAAUCUCCUUAAACCUACUCGGUAAUUCGGAUUAUUUUGCGAAAUAAUGGUUUUAUCUGCUUUCAAUUGUUAACGA